UGUCCCCCUACCUCAAGAGCCUGUCCAUGGUGACUGCCAACAAGUUGCUGCACCUGCUGGAGGCCUUCUCCACCACCUGGUUCCUCUUCUCUGCCGCCCAGAACCACCACCUGGUCUUCUUCCUCCUGGAGGUCUUCAACAACAUCAUCCAGUACCAGUUUGAUGGAAGCCCACCCAGAUUGGACGGGGGGAGCUGGAGGGGGCCUCCCUGAGGCGAGGCAUGCUCCCUGCCCACAGGCAACUCCAACCUGGUCUACGCCAUCAUCCGCAAGCGCAG
RNAcentral lists this long non-coding RNA (277 nucleotides) under Homo sapiens (human). RNAcentral's name for it is "non-protein coding lnc-USH1G-1:1". Lineage: Eukaryota; Metazoa; Chordata; Mammalia; Primates; Hominidae. The record is from RNAcentral.